Molecule: ribosomal RNA, 253 nt
Filed under: uncultured bacterium
Lineage: Bacteria
Description: partial 16S ribosomal RNA
Rfam family: Bacterial small subunit ribosomal RNA
Source: RNAcentral
UACGGAGGGGGCGAGCGUUAUUCGGAAUUAUUGGGCGUAAAGGGCGCGUAGGCGGCGUGACAAGUCACUUGUGAAAUCUCCGGGCUUAACUCGGAACGGCCAAGUGAUACUGUCGUGCUAGAGUGCGGAAGGGGCUACUGGAAUUCUCGGUGUAGCGGUGAAAUGCGUAGAUAUCGAGAGGAACACCUGCGGCGAAGGCGGGUAGCUGGGCCGACACUGACGCUGAUGCGCGAAAGCGUGGGGAGCAAACAGG